CCUACGGGUGGCUGCAGUGGGGAAUAUUGGACAAUGGGCGAAAGCCUGAUCCAGCCAUGCCGCGUGUGUGAAGAAGGCCUUCGGGUUGUAAAGCACUUUCAGUGGGGAAGAAAGCCUUGGGGCUAAUACCCUCGAGGAAGGACAUCACCCACAGAAGAAGCACCGGCUAACUCCGUGCCAGCAGCCGCGGUAAUACGGAGGGUGCGAGCGUUAAUCGGAAUUACUGGGCGUAAAGCGCGCGUAGGCGGUCUGAUAAGCCGGUUGUGAAAGCCCCGGGCUCAACCUGGGAACGGCAUCCGGAACUGUCAGGCUAGAGUGCAGGAGAGGACGGUAGAAUUCCCGGUGUAGCGGUGAAAUGCGUAGAGAUCGGGAGGAAUACCAGUGGCGAAGGCGGCCUUCUGGACUGACACUGACGCUGAGGUGCGAAAGCGUGGGUAGCAAACAGGAUUAGAUACCCCGGUAGUC
Molecule: ribosomal RNA, 465 nt
Filed under: Vreelandella stevensii
Lineage: Bacteria; Pseudomonadati; Pseudomonadota; Gammaproteobacteria; Oceanospirillales; Halomonadaceae
Description: partial 16S ribosomal RNA
Rfam family: Bacterial small subunit ribosomal RNA
Source: RNAcentral